GAGCUUAGGAGUUUGACUCCUGGACUACGAGGACGAACGGCUGGCGGCGUGCCUAACACAUGCAAGUCGAACGGNGUAAAGAGCUUCGGUUUUUUACUUAGUGGCGAACGGGUGAGUAACGCGUGAGCAACCUGACUCUUUNAGGGGGAUAACAGUCGGAAACAACUGCUAAUACCGCAUAAGACCACGAACCGGCAUCGGUAUGAGGUCAAAGGAGCAAUCCGCAGAGAGAGGGGCUCGCGUCCCAUUAGAUAGUUGGCGGGGCAACGGCCCACCAAGUCCGCGAUGGGUAGCCGAGCUGAGAGGCUGAUCGGCCACACUGGAACUGAGACACGGUCCAGACUCCUACGGGAGGCAGCAGUGGGGAAUAUUGGGCAAUGGGCGCAAGCCUGACCCAGCAACGCCGCGUGAGGGAAGAAGGCUUUCGGGUUGUAAACCUCUGUCCUUGGUGACGAAACAAAUGACGGUAGCCAAGGAGGAAGCCCCGGCUAACUACGUGCC
This 501-nucleotide ribosomal RNA is filed under the name uncultured organism. Its description in RNAcentral is "SSU rRNA". It matches the Rfam family "Bacterial small subunit ribosomal RNA", at positions 1 to 509 of the family's 1533-position model. The record is from RNAcentral.